GACGAACGCUGGCGGCGUGCCUAAUACAUGCAAGUUGAGCGAUGAAGAUUGGUGCUUGCACCAAUUUGAAGAGCAGCGAACGGGUGAGUAACGCGUGGGGAAUCUGCCUUUGAGCGGGGGACAACAUUUGGAAACGAAUGCUAAUACCGCAUAACAACUUUAAACAUAAGUUUUAAGUUUGAAAGAUGCAAUUGCAUCACUCAAAGAUGAUCCCGCGUUGUAUUAGCUAGUUGGUGAGGUAAAGGCUCACCAAGGCGAUGAUACAUAGCCGACCUGAGAGGGUGAUCGGCCACAUUGGGACUGAGACACGGCCCAAACUCCUACGGGAGGCAGCAGUAGGGAAUCUUCGGCAAGGGACGAAAGUCUGGACGAGCAACGCCGCGUGAGUGAAGAAGGUUUUCGGAUCGUAAAACUCUGUUGGUAGAGAAGAACGUUGGUGAGAGUGGAAAGCUCAUCAAGUGACGGUAACUACCCAGAAAGGGACGGCUAACUACGUG
RNAcentral lists this ribosomal RNA (497 nucleotides) under uncultured bacterium. RNAcentral describes it as "partial 16S ribosomal RNA". It matches the Rfam family "Bacterial small subunit ribosomal RNA", at positions 28 to 507 of the family's 1533-position model. The record is from RNAcentral.